AAAAAAAGCUACUUGUUACUGUUUGGUUGUCUAGCCACACACAAUUGUUUAUUCAAAUCCCCUGAAAUGAGGUGUGCCUACUAGAAAACAAAAGGUAGGCUGGAUCAUGGGUAGCAGAAUGGAAAUCAAUAGUUGAGAGGAAAAAUACUGUCUUCAAGGGGCUACUAAGAAUUCAUCCUUUUCACAAUCAUAAGCUUGAUAAAAAUCUUUAUACAAUAAUCAUGGAGUUAACAUUUUUGCGUUUGCCGCCACGGAAAGCUGCAGGAAGGGAUGUUGAGGGCGACUGACUGAUCAAAGCGAGGCCUCCUGUUCUCCCAGGAAGAAGAUGGAAACCCUGCACUCCAGAGGGGUACUGGUUGGAUCAGUGCAGGAUUUAGCACUGAGAAGCAAGGCUAUUCACACCUGAUCUACAGUUACCAUAUGAUCCAGCCAUUCUACUCAGCAGGAACUUUAACAGGUGUUCGUAUUCAUGGAGGCGCACUGCAGAGCUAAAAGGUGGAUGCAACCUAAAAGUCCGAAUCGACGGUUAUGACGUCAGAAUGAAGACGCUUUCUCCGGGCAUCCCGCAAGGCAAGUGCAGUUUCCUGUUGCAUUCCGGGAUUGUGAUGUAGCAAGGCUAAAAGGAAUCUUCCAGUGUAGAGGUGGAGAUGGUGACUGGGGAAGUGAAAAGUGGAAGAAGAAAAAAAAAAAGCUUGGUGCUUUGGGAAAGGGCUCUGCUUACCAUACUUACAAUACCAUCCUUGAAGAGAGACAAUUGUAAGAGAGGAAAACCAGUACGACACUGGUACUGGAGUAGAGUGACUAAGGAGUGCUGAGAUGAUUUCAGACUUCCAGUUUAUUCUUUGUAACUGUCUUCCUCUCCACUGUUGACCUUGCUAUAUGAAUAGUAUCAAUCAUAUUCAUUCCCCUGUGUUAGCUCAACAAACAAGAGCCAUACAGAUAAAAGGCAACCAAUGCACGCACGUGAGCCCGGCUCUCUGCCUAUCCACCCAGAGGAGAAAAUAGAAGAAGAAAACUAUUUAGCGGCUAAGAAGAUGAGAGGAUUCAUUUCCAACACCAGAUGCAAGCGCUCUUUUUUCUCUUUAAGGUGUGUGUUUUAUCUUCAACUUACAGAUGGGGAAAGUGAAGCUUAGAGAUGUCAACUGAUCUGCUUACAGUCACACUAAAAGGGAGGCGCAGAGAUGGGAUUAGAAUUCAAGACUUUAGAUACUUCAGUGGGUGGUCUGGACAGUUUCCCCCUACUUCUCAGGCAGGGCAUUAACAGGAUUUCAGGCUUUUGAGAGCAGCACCUCAUUAGAGCAAUUUCUUUCACCUGAUCUUUUGGCUUUAACUCUGAGACCACUGAGCUGGCAGCAUGCUUUGCCAGCUAUUGCUACAAUCGUGAUACUCCGUGGUUUGCAUUAGGGUUUGUGGUAUCUCUGAGAAACCACACUCUUCUCGGAGUAGAAUGCUAUGAAAUGAAGAAAAACAAUUGUAUAACGAUACUAACAAGAUCCAUAGUUAUAUAUAAGUCAUUUAUCAAUGGUUUCUUGAUUCCAUUUAUCUAUUUGCUAUAUUGUCAGCCAAGUAUGGACCACCAAGAUACACCAUCCACCCAGGCAAUACUGGGCCUAUAAAUCAACCAAGCCUCCAAUGCCUUCUGAAAUCCAGUAUUUGAUGGUGUAGUUUCAACUACUGCCGAAACCAUGGAAAUGUACAGCUCAAAGAAAGCUCACUCACUGAGCAUGCUCAUGUCAACAUGACCCAGAUCAAGAAACAGAGAAUAGGGGCUGGAGGGAUGGCUCAGUGGUUAAGGGGGAUUGACUGCUCUUCCAGAGAUCCUGAGUUCAAUUCCCAGCAACCACAUGGUGGCUCACAACCAUCUGCAAUGGGAUCUGGUGCCGCCUUCUAGUAUGUCUGAAGAAAGCAAUGGUGUACUCACAUACAUAAAAUAAAUAAAUAAAUCUUAAGAGAGAGAGAGAGAGA
Mus spicilegus (steppe mouse) is the source of this 1965-nucleotide long non-coding RNA. The record is from Ensembl. Lineage: Eukaryota; Metazoa; Chordata; Mammalia; Rodentia; Muridae.